Molecule: ribosomal RNA, 468 nt
Filed under: uncultured bacterium
Lineage: Bacteria
Description: partial 16S ribosomal RNA
Rfam family: Bacterial small subunit ribosomal RNA
Source: RNAcentral
GACGAACGCUGGCGGCGUGCUUAACACAUGCAAGUCGAACGGAAAUGCCCUGCUUUUGUGGGGUGCUGUAGUGGCGAACGGGUAAGGAACACUUAAGUAACCUAUCCUUGAGUUUGGGUUAACUUCAGGAAACUGGGGCUAUUACCGGAUAAGAGCUCCUGCUGCAUGGUGGGGCUUGGUAAGUUUCGGCGGUUGGGUGUGGACUCGCGGCUUAUCAGCGUGUUGGUGGGGUAGUGGCGUACCCAGGCUUUGACAGGUUGCCGGGCUGAGAGGGUGACCGGACAAAUCAGGAUUGAGAUACGGCCCAGACUAAUACGGGAGGGGGCAGUGGAGAAUAGAGUACAAUGGGCGGGACCAUGAUGUAACGACGCCGCGUGGGGGAUAAGGGCCUUCGGGUUGUAUACCGCUAUCGCUUGUGAGGAAGCGUGAGUGACGGUAAUGGGUAAAGAAGCACCGGCUAACUACGUG